CUACGGGGCGCUCCAGUGGGGAAUAUUGCACAAUGGGCGCAAGCCUGAUGCAGCCAUGCCGCGUGUAUGAAGAAGGCCUUCGGGUUGUAAAGUACUUUCAGCGGGGAGGAAGGGAGUAAAGUUAAUACCUUUGCUCAUUGACGUUACCCGCAGAAGAAGCACCGGCUAACUCCGUGCCAGCAGCCGCGGUAAUACGGAGGGUGCAAGCGUUAAUCGGAAUUACUGGGCGUAAAGCGCACGCAGGCGGUUUGUUAAGUCAGAUGUGAAAUCCCCGGGCUCAACCUGGGAACUGCAUCUGAUACUGGCAAGCUUGAGUCUCGUAGAGGGGGGUAGAAUUCCAGGUGUAGCGGUGAAAUGCGUAGAGAUCUGGAGGAAUACCGGUGGCGAAGGCGGCCCCCUGGACGAAGACUGACGCUCAGGUGCGAAAGCGUUGGGAGCAAACAGGAUUAGAUACCCGCGUAGUC
RNAcentral lists this ribosomal RNA (464 nucleotides) under uncultured bacterium. Its description in RNAcentral is "partial 16S ribosomal RNA". It matches the Rfam family "Bacterial small subunit ribosomal RNA", at positions 339 to 795 of the family's 1533-position model. The record is from RNAcentral.